UACGAAGGGGGCUAGCGUUGCUCGGAAUUACUGGGCGUAAAGCGCACGUAGGCGGAUCGAUCAGUCAGGGGUGAAAUCCCAGGGCUCAACCCUGGAACUGCCUUUGAUACUGUCGAUCUGGAGUAUGGAAGAGGUGAGUGGAAUUCCGGGUGUAGUGGUGAAAUGCGUAGAGAUCCGGAGGAACACCAGUGGCGAAGGCGACACGCUGGGCCGUACCUGACACUGAUGCGCGACAGCAUGGGAAGCAAACAGG
RNAcentral lists this ribosomal RNA (253 nucleotides) under uncultured bacterium. Its description in RNAcentral is "partial 16S ribosomal RNA". It matches the Rfam family "Bacterial small subunit ribosomal RNA", at positions 524 to 776 of the family's 1533-position model. The record is from RNAcentral.